CAGCAGAAGAGAAGGACUGGAAAACUGCUU
RNAcentral lists this non-coding RNA (30 nucleotides) under Cricetulus griseus (Chinese hamster). The record is from RNAcentral. Lineage: Eukaryota; Metazoa; Chordata; Mammalia; Rodentia; Cricetidae.